ACCGACACAGGUAGUCAAGAUGAGAAUUCUAAGGUGAGCGAGCGAACUCUCGUUAAGGAACUCGGCAAAAUGACCCCGUAACUUCGGGAGAAGGGGUGCUCUUUAGGGUUAACGCCCAGAAGAGCCGCAGUGAAUAGGCCCAAGCGACUGUUUAUCAAAAACACAGGUCUCUGCUAAACCGUAAGGUGAUGUAUAGGGGCUGACGCCUGCCCGGUGCUGGAAGGUUAAGAGGAGUGGUUAGCUUCUGCGAAGCUACGAAUCGAAGCCCCAGUAAACGGCGGCCGUAACUAUAACGGUCCUAAGGUAGCGAAAUUCCUUGUCGGGUAAGUUCCGACCCGCACGAAAGGCGUAACGAUUUGGGCACUGUCUCAACGAGAGACUCGGUGAAAUCAUAGUACCUGUGAAGAUGCAGGUUACCCGCGACAGGAC
This 429-nucleotide ribosomal RNA is filed under the name Bacteroides acidifaciens. Its description in RNAcentral is "partial 23S ribosomal RNA". It matches the Rfam family "Bacterial large subunit ribosomal RNA", at positions 1653 to 2081 of the family's 2925-position model. The record is from RNAcentral. Lineage: Bacteria; Pseudomonadati; Bacteroidota; Bacteroidia; Bacteroidales; Bacteroidaceae.